Molecule: long non-coding RNA, 1377 nt
Filed under: Sus scrofa (pig)
Lineage: Eukaryota; Metazoa; Chordata; Mammalia; Artiodactyla; Suidae
Description: lncRNA (ENSSSCG00025042800.1)
Source: RNAcentral
UGCUGUGGCUAGGACUUUUAAUACUAUGUUGAAUAACAGUAGUGAGAGUAGGCAUCUUUGUCUUGUUCCAGAUUUUAGUGGGAAGGCUUUCAGCUUUUUGUGGUUGAGUAUUAUAUUAGCUGUGGAUUUGUCAUCAAUGGCUUUUAUUAUGUUAAGGAAUGUUCCCUCUAUACCCACUUUGGCGAGGGUCUUGAUCAUGAAUGGAUGUUGAACUUUGUCAAAUGCUUUUUCUGCGUCUAUUGAGAUGAUCAUAUGAUUUUUGACUUUUUUUUUGUUAAUGUGGUGUAUGAUGCUGAUUGAUUUGCGUAUGUUGAACCAUCCUUGUGAACCUGGGAUGAACCCAACCUGGUCAUGGUGUAUAAUUUUUUUGAUAUGUUGUUGGAUUCGGUUGGCUAAGAUUUUGUUGAGAAUUUUUGCAUCUAUAUUCAUCAAUGAUAUUGGGCGAUAGUUUUCUUUUUUGGUGGUAUCUCUGUCUGGUUUUGGAAUGAGGGUGAUGGUGGCCUCAUAGAAUGUCUUUGGGAGUAUUCCUUCUUCUUCAACCUUUUGAAAGAGUUUAAGGAGGAUGGGCACCAAUUCCUCUUUAUAUGUUUGAUAGAAUUCACCUGUGAAGCCAUCUGGUCCUGGACUUUUAUUUGUAGGGAGUGAUUUUAUGACCUCUUCAAUUUCAUUUCUAGUGAUCGGUCUGUUCAGUUGGUCUGUUUCUGCUUGAUUCAGUUUUGGCAGGCUGUAAGAUUCUAGAAAAUUGUCCAUUUCUUCCAGAUUGUCAAACUUGUUGCCAUAUAGUUGUUCAUAGUAUUCUCUUAUGGUUUUUUGUAUUUCUGCUGUAUCCGUUGUGAUUUCUCCUUUUUCAUUUAUAAUUUUGGUUAUUUGGGUUCUUUCUCUCCUCUUUUUAGUGAGUCUGGCCAGGGGUUUGUCAAUUUUGUUCACCUUUUCAAAGAACCAGCUCUUGGUUUUAUUAAUUUUCUCUAUUGUUUUUUGAGUCUCUAUUUUAUUGAUUUCUUCUUUGAUCUUUAUAAUUUCCUUCCUUCUGCUGACUUUAGGACUUUUUUGUUCUUCUUUUUCUAAUUCAUUUAGGUGGAGGGUUAAGUUGUCAAUUUGGGAUCUUUCUUCUUUUUUGAGAAAGGCCUGUAUUGCUAUAAAUUUCCCUCUGAGCACUGCUUUCGCAGCAUCCCAUAGAUUUUGAGAGGUUGUGUCUUCAUUAUCAUUUGUUUCAAGGUAGUUUUUAAUUUCCUUCUUGAUUUCCUCAUUGACCCAUUGGUUUUUUAGUAGCAUGUUGUUUAGUCUCCAUGGAGUAGGUUUUUUCUCUUUGCUUUUCCCAUGGUUGAUUUCUAAUUUCAUGGCAUUGUGGUCAGAGAAGAUACUUGAGAUAAUUUCUAU